GACGAACGCUGGCGGCGUGCCUAACGCAUGCAAGUCGAACGGAACUGUUUUGAAAGAUUUCUUCGGAAUGAAUUUGAUUUAGUUUAGUGGCGGACGGGUGAGUAACGCGUGAGUAACCUGCCUUCAAGAGGGGGAUAACAUUCUGAAAAGAAUGCUAAUACCGCAUGACAUAUCGGAAUCACAUGAUUUUGAUAUCAAAGAUUUUAUCGCUUGAAGAUGGACUCGCGUCCGAUUAGUUAGUUGGUGAGGUAACGGCUCACCAAGACCGCGAUCGGUAGCCGGACUGAGAGGUUGAACGGCCACAUUGGGACUGAGACACGGCCCAGACUCCUACGGGAGGCAGCAGUGGGGGAUAUUGCGCAAUGGGGGCAACCCUGACGCAGCAACGCCGCGUGAAGGAUGAAGGUUUUCGGAUUGUAAACUUCUUUUAUUAAGGACGAAAAUUGACG
Molecule: ribosomal RNA, 449 nt
Filed under: uncultured bacterium
Lineage: Bacteria
Description: bacterial SSU rRNA
Rfam family: Bacterial small subunit ribosomal RNA
Source: RNAcentral